Molecule: ribosomal RNA, 492 nt
Filed under: uncultured bacterium
Lineage: Bacteria
Description: partial 16S ribosomal RNA
Rfam family: Bacterial small subunit ribosomal RNA
Source: RNAcentral
AGUGAACGCUGGCGGUAGGCCUAACACAUGCAAGUCGAACGGCAGCACAGUAAGAGCUUGCUCUUACGGGUGGCGAGUGGCGGACGGGUGAGGAAUACAUCGGAAUCUACUUUUUCGUGGGGGGUAACGUAGGGAAACUUACGCUAAUACCGCAUACGACCUACGGGUGAAAGCAGGGGAUCUUCGGACCUUGCGCGAUUGAAUGAGCCGAUGUCGGAUUAGCUAGUGGGCGGGGUAAAGGCCCACCAAGGCGACGAUCCGUAGCUGGUCUGAGAGGAUGAUCAGCCACACUGGAACUGAGACACGGUCCAGACUCCUACGGGAGGCAGCAGUGGGGAAUAUUGGACAAUGGGCGCAAGCCUGAUCCAGCCAUACCGCGUGGGUGAAGAAGGCCUUCGGGUUGUAAAGCCCUUUUGUUGGGAAAGAAAAGCAGCAGGUUAAUACCCCGCUGUUCUGACGGUACCCAAAGAAUAAGCACCGGCUAACUUCGUG